Peromyscus maniculatus bairdii (prairie deer mouse) is the source of this 5965-nucleotide non-coding RNA. NCBI's taxonomy places the organism in Eukaryota, Metazoa, Chordata, Mammalia, Rodentia, Cricetidae. The record is from RefSeq and is a predicted model, not a curated record.
CAUCAACUGCCCUGCUUCGGUCUGGCAGACAAAGCAAGUUUCUCCGCUGAUUAGAAGGGCAGGCUUUCUGGCUGCCUGGAGGCAUCUACGCAGCAACACAGCACGCAGGGAGGCGAGUGGCAGCCACCUUCACAGGCUGCAGCCAAGGUCAGCACAGCAAGGGCGCUCUUGUGCCCCCCCCCCCCAGAUGGAGGCUCUGCCAGCCUGGGAGAGUGGGUGGUCUUUCUCUCCUAGGGGGAGGAGCAAGCAGGCACCCCCACACCAGAGGCGGCCCUCCAUUCCAGAAGGAAAGGGUCAUCAGACUUCCCCCUGAGGAAGACUUUUCACCUUUGAUCGGACCAGAGAGAGGCCCGCAACCCCAGAGCCAGUCCUUCCUAUCAUGAAUUAAAACCCACGAUCCCAGUUCUUCCAACUCCUUUGGAAAUUUCCUGGCAAAGCCGGGCAAUGUGCAGCCAGGUACAGGCAAUACAAACAAGCACAUUUAUCACCAUCUUGAAGCCCGAGUUUCUGACGCUCGUUACCUCUGGGGGCCGGGAGUGGGAAUAAGGCCGCCAAGGGCUUUUCCUCUAGGGUCUCAGUUUCCCAAUCAGUAAGCAUGAGCUUUUAUAAAGGAGAGAGAGCUCACAUUGCUACCCUGAGUCUGGGGCUUUGGCCAGGUAGGUUAUGGUGGGGCGGGGGUCCUGAGCUCCCCACCUAGGGGGCAUUUGGACCACAAGACAGGCUCUUGUGGGGCGCUGACCCCAAGAACUGCUUUUAUUGGGGGGAAGCUGGAGGUCCACAGGCGUGCUCAGGCCCUUGCCUCUAACCCUCACACCACCUGCAUCCUGACGACAAAGGGAGCCUGGGACCGGUGCCCCCUGCCAGGUUCUUGGAGUGGGACAAGUUUAGCACCCCUCCAGCUAAGCAGGUCAGGGGAGCCCUAUCUCUCUCACAGCCAGAGAAGCCAAGAGGAGAGAGACAUUUCUCGGCAGCCAUCCUAAUCCUGGAUUACAGUGAUGAACUCCAACAAGUCUGGAGUUAACCCCUUCAUCUCAGGAACACGCAUCAAGAAAUCAGGAGCCGACUUCAGGAUGCAAAGAGCGAAGGGAAAGCAUAGAGCAUGCAGGAAAAGCAUAGAGCAUGCAGGAAAAGCAUAGAGCAUGCAGGAAAAGCAUAGAGCAUGCAGGAAAAGCAUAGAGCAUGCAGGGCAUUUCCCAAGUCUUUGCCUAGCCACGCUCCAUUUGUGUCUAGCCAAGGCCAGAGGUCUUCACUGUUGCUUCUGAGGGAGGAGGAGGGGUGGGUCUGAACUGGUUGUAGAGCGUGGGUUUGGGAGGGCACACCCUUCUUCGGUCUGCAGGACACCCCCAGAGGAUGGAACCUAAAGAGGUGCUUUACAGUGUGCUUCCAGGCAGCUGGCCCAGAUCCUCAUCCUCAGACCCUCUCUUCCUAGCGGUAUCACGGGGUGAGCGCAUUCGGGAGUGAGUCUGUUUCCUCACCUGCUAACAGGGGCUCCACUGUUAAGAUCUGUGAGAAAUGUUCCCUUCAAGCACGGUGCUGUUCCGCCAUGUUAGCAUUUACUGCGGUUGCUGCUGUGAUGAGCAGUGCAGUUACUUCCAACCCUCCCCUCUGGGCGUGGGGGACCCUUGAACGCGACCUAAGGUCCCCUGGCCAUGAGAUUACCCUGCUGCUGGCCAGGAGAAGGCCUGUUUGGAGGUGACCGUCAGCGUGCCAUGUGAGAGGGCAAGCUGGCUUUGCUCUCGACUUUCAAAAGCCUCUGAUGGGCUUCGUGGGAAAGGUGACUUCCCCUCAGCGGACAGGAGGAGGCUGCUGGGGAGCAGAGGAAGGCCCCCACUCUCCUUUCCACAGAGAAGGAAGAAAGGGGUCCUUAGAAAAGGCAGGUCGGAGCAGUUCUGUCCCGUGUCCCCAAAGAACGAUGACAAUUCACCAGGGGAGCCGAGGAUGACCCUGCCUGGGCUCAGCAGGGGCACACAGGCCGCCGGAGUGGCAGCUGUCUGAGACAUUCCCAGAAGGGACUUUGCCUAAUGCCACCUUGAAGAUGUGACUUUCUGUAAGCUCCUUGCUGCUCAGGAUUGAGCCAGGAUGAGGGUUUUGUGUGUGGAGUGACUGUGAACGUGGUGACGGGUGUGGCACGGGACAGUGUCCCUGAAGGUUCCCAAGCACUGGCUUUGAGUGGGAUCAACCCAGGGGCCAGAACACUGGGCGCUACGGAAGCCGGGUAAGCAUUGAAGGCUUUGUGUGUUGCUCUGUUGUUUUUUCUUUUUUCUUUGAGUCUCUUGCAAGUGGGGAGCUUUCUCUGUGUCUGUAUAUCUAUCUACAUGGCUGGUACAGGACAAGGGCGAGCAAGCCGCACGGGGCUCAACCACUUUCAGUGACAUCUGGCCCAGGGUGCUCCUCAGCAGCUUCUAGGACCGCAAGCAUGCUGGAGCUGGCCAGUGUUUUGUUCCCUAGUCUCGCUACCUACAGGGCUCUUCAUAACUCCCUGAUGCUCUGGGCCCAGAAGAUACCAAAAAUGGCCAGUCACUCAAGAUGGCCUCCAAACCCUCUCCCCAGGCUCCUCGGACUUCUUAGCCCACAGGACUCAUACCAACCCGUGUUUCCAGGAGAUAAGGUCAUCCUCCCGUGCAGGAGGGGGCAGUGGGAGAAGGAAGGAGACUGUUGAUUUGCCUCUGCAUUCAGAUGAGAUCUCAAUCCCCGGCUCUCCCCGGGCGGGCGGGUGGCUACCCUCUACGGAUCACCACACAUUCCACCUCAGGUGCUCCCAAGCAUUUCGGCAGCCUCACCCAUCUGGAAUGCUCCUCCUGCUUCCAUCCAGACCCUUGCAAGCCCACACAGGCUCCAGCUGUCGGGGAGCCCUCAAUCAGCGCUUUCCUGCUUUGCCUCUGCCAGGCAUUUCAUGAGCACCUGUUCCAGAAUGGCACAGUUCCUGCCUCCAGGAAGUCAAGGAGAAAGACCCCAGUGGUGGCAUCGGUGGCAGUGAGUGAUUAUGGCAACGUGGGCCGAGCCCAUCUGCACACACCGACACACACAAGCUGGCCCAGACAUCUCCCUUCCCACAGCGGGCGGAGAACAGGCCAGGCUGGAGGGAGGUAGAAGGCUCUAGAUCCCCAGCCCAAGGGUUGUUUAUGCAUGGGACGGCCUGUAGAGACGUAGGAAGGAUAGCUCAAGGCAUGCCCCACAGCAGUCAGAGCAUAAGCCUCGGGGCCUGAGUGCAAGUUCUGACUCCAAGCCCUGGGCAAGUCACUCGCCUCCUCUAGAGAGCUCUCUGUCAGCAAAGCGGGAACAAUGGCUGAGAUCUGUCCAACGGACAAAGUGAGAGGCAGAAACAGCCCUGACCCAGCACCUGGCACAUAACCAGAGGAUGAAAAUCUUUCAACUGGCCACUAGUAAGUUUUAGCCCUAUAGGACUGAGCAAAAGCCUGACCCUUAUUAGAGGACAACCCCGGGCACGGGAAUGGAGGUCUCCUGACUCCUUAAGACUACCUUGCAACAAACUGGCCCAGAUACCCCAAACUUAAGCACUGGGCUCUGCAAUCGAUGCCAUUCCAUGAGCUUGUCUUAUCACCUUGCAGAACAAGAACAAUUCGGAGCAUGCAGCAGGCCUGGACUAAGGAAGGCAGAGGUCUUACCAGACUCUGGGGAGACAACAGGAUACUCAGGGAGCAGCCUGAGCAAUAGAACAAAGCUGACUGCUGUGGGCAGACAUCAUGGGACUCUGCAGAGACUGAGGUCAUGUGCAGCUGUGGAAACGGGAGGCACUCCCAGUCCCGGGGCCUAUCUCAGCCUCGUGUGUCAACAUCCCAGCAAAGGCUAGGGCUGAGGCCAGCCUCUGAGUGGGCACCGGCAGAGGCUCAGACCUCCGUGCGCCCCCCCGCCCCCACCUCUCUUUCUGCUCUCCCAGGCUCAGGACACCUGCUCGCUUCCCCACUGUACUCUGGACAGCAGCUUCCCUAGAACAGUGAUGGGCAGCUAGAACACAGUCUGUGGGCCCCAGUGAGAGGCUGACACCCUUGACCCUGAGCCCGGCACAUUCCUCUGAUUAGGAAGAGACUGGGACGGGUUAACAUUUUGGGCUCCUGUAGUUUCCCUAAGGAGUUUCACAUCCAUGCCCUUUAGCUUACAAUAACCCUGCGGAUUAAUCCGACAGCUGUGACUUCUCAAUUUCUCCUCCUUGAAAACAGAAGCCUAGGCGGGAGAAAUGGCCUCCGGGACACAGAGCAGGCAACUGGAAGGCUGGCUGCAGACCUCAGCAUCCACUGGCUCUGCUCAAAUGAUGGGCAGGUAGCAGCCUGGUACCUUCCACAGGGUCUCAAGGACGAUGGUUGGCAGGGAAGGUCUGCCUUCCUCUCCUCUGGCUCUUGCAGGGUUCCCUACUGUUCUGGUGCAGGGUAAGCGGAGGGAUGGUGGUAAGGAAGAGCCCUUACCUGCUCUGACCUGAGUCCUGCAGGGGGGUGCCCGGGUCCCAGUCCACGGCUCCCGCUGGUCGCUCUAGGGCCCAGAGCAGAAGCAGAGGUCAGGACAGGGCCACCAGCUGGGCUCUGAGCUGCUUCUCGGUGAACACAGAGGAGAGAUGCUCUACUCCCCGUGUGGGCCGAAUGCCCCCCCCAAUCACACAUUCAAAUCUAAUCUCCAGUAGGAGGGGUGAAGAAAUGGGGACUGGGGACCCAUGUUCUGAUCUGAGAAACGGAGGCACAAAGACUGAGUGAACCCAGAGUAGGCAAAGAGGACCCCCCUAUACAUGCCCUCAGGUGGGGAAACUGAGUCAUGGAGAAAUCACACCCCAUGGAUUCCAUGGGCGAGUCCAGCUUGUAACCAAAAGCUUUGCAUCCCACACCAAGCCCAGGGCUCUUUCAGAACAGUGAUCGUUUACCGCACCCCCUUAUUGUCAGGUAAGACUGCGUCCACAGAGGUCAGAAGACUCACAAGUGUUACACAGCCCCUUGGUGGCUGGGCUAAUUCCAAUGGCUUUACAGAGAAGGAAAGGAAGAGCUCUUUACUCACUGUAGAAGCGACUGUGUCUUAAUGGUUACUCUGUUAGGCCACGCUGAGAAAUCAUCCUACAUCUAGAAGUGUCCCAUUUGAAGUAAACUCAGUGUGUAAGAAUUCAUCCCUAAAUGGCAGAUUAGGAGUUAAUUACUCCCUUCACACAAUAAGGAUCCACCAUAAGAUGUUCUUAAAGGGUUAAGGUCACUUAUUACAAUUCAAUUUAUAUGCUUUUCAGGAAUAUAUGUAUUUUAUAAAGCAAGAUACAUCUGUAACACCAAGUUUCACAGCAAUAAAUCUGUGAAGUUUAUGGAUUAUCUUUAGGACGGAAGUCAUUUUCUCUACCGGAGCAUCUAGAGCAGCGGUUCUCAACCUGUGGGUCAUGACCCUUUGGGGAAUCGGAAAGACCCUUUCACGAGGGUCGCCUAUGACCAUGGGAAAACACAGAUAUUUACAUUACGAUUCACAACAGUAGCAAAAUUACAGUUGUGAAGUAGCAACGAAAAUAAUUUUAUGGUUGGGGGUCCCCACAACAUGAGGAACACUAUGAAAGGGUCGCAGCAUUAGGAAGGCGGAGAACCAGUGAUCUAGAAUACUCCAGGCUUCUCUUUGCAGCCCAGCUACCUCUUCUCUGAGGUCCAAUCCAGAAGCCAAGAUUGGGAUUGUAACGUGAGCCCUUUCAGUAAAAUCCAGAGAACUUCAGGACCUCGUAAACUCUGGAGCUGCGCCCUGACAUCCGUGUCUGCAGACCUUAAAGAAUGAGACCGUCCCCCCCGAAGGCCUCUGGACGGUCUCCCUGGAAGACAGCUACCGAGCCCUCCACUCCUAGCACCGAUCCUCUGACUCAGGAAAACUGGAUCGAAAAUGGACGUGAAGAACCGGGCCUCCUCAACUCUUCCCGCGGUGGGAGGUCGAGUCUCGGCGGCCCAGGACCCCUCUGCGCCCCGCCACCCCGCCCGGCUCCUCGGGGUACUCACUGAGAGCG